This 85-nucleotide transfer RNA is filed under the name Escherichia coli. Its description in RNAcentral is "tRNA-Tyr". It matches the Rfam family "tRNA". From Rfam's summary of the family: Transfer RNA (tRNA) molecules are approximately 80 nucleotides in length. Their secondary structure includes four short double-helical elements and three loops (D, anti-codon, and T loops). RNAcentral also lists the same sequence under 1 other name. Lineage: Bacteria; Pseudomonadati; Pseudomonadota; Gammaproteobacteria; Enterobacterales; Enterobacteriaceae. The record is from RNAcentral.
GGUGGGGUUCACGAGCGGCCAAAGGGAGCAGACUGUAAAUCUGCCGUCAUCGACUUCGAAGGUUCGAAUCCUUCCCCCACCACCA